AUCUCAUUCCAGUGUGAACUGAAUGUAACUCCAGAUGCCUUGAGAGCCAUCGCCAGGUUGGCUUUGGAAAGGAAGACCGGUGCUCGUGGGCUAAGGUCCAUUAUGGAAAAAUUGCUUCUUGAACCCAUGUUUGAAGUGCCACACUCAGACAUCAUGGCUGUUGAGCUGAACGAAGACGUGGUCCAAGGGAAAUCAGUGCCUGUGUAUGUAAAAGCACCUGCUAAGGAGUCUGAGGAGGAGUAUGACUCUGGGAUAGAGGAGGAGAGCUGGCCAAGGCAGGCGGAUGCAGCCAACAACUAACUAACAGUCCAAAAUGGAACUUCAGAAAUUGCCAUUUCGAUUUAAUAAGCUAUGGCAUUUUACAAGUACCAUUAUUGUAACUUCAAAUGUAAUUAUGUCAUCUGAAUUACAUCAGUGUUGAUCAUGAUGAUGUAGGUUAUGCAAUUUCAUACAUCGGAAAAAGUUUGUUCCCAAAUUGUUGCAAAGGUUUAAGAAUUAACAUUAACCAAGUAUUCUCUAGCCAUCUUUCACAGAGAGAGAAAAGGAGAGAGAACUUUAUCCUGUUUAAAUGUAAAGAUACUUUAACUUUUUCUCAUAAAGUAGCUAGUGUCUCUUUGUGAUAAGUACUUGUUUGGGAAACCUUAAUGGAAAUGGAUUGUAUCAAGUCCAAAAUCUAUUUUCUCUUAUUUCGUUUUGACACCAUUUUAUUUUUGACAGUCAAGGAUUAAGGUAAAUACAGGAUACUUGUUUUAACCACCAUGUCUUUCUGAUGUCAUUAAGGAAGCCAUUUUGUUUCUUCACAACUCUCUGACGAGGUCAGCCAGGUCAUAGAAACCAGCGUUCUUUACAGAACAAGUAUUUAUAGGCAAAUUGUUAACCUUUUCAAAAAAGAUCAGUUUGGCUGCUCUGUGGUGGAUUUCAAAUAUCCAACACUGGAAUUACUAGUAUACUGUAUGUACAGUUAGUAUGCCAUGUAUGAGAUGAAACGUGUAAGAUAUCUGGGGUCGCGAUAGGGGGGGUGACUUAAAUUGAUCCCAAUCAGCUUUGAUAAUGUCAGAUUUUCAACACAUUUUCCCAUUGUGGUUGUUUUUGAUGUUUCUUUAUGGAACCGUUUAGAACUUCCUACACAUUUAAUGAAGCCAUGACAUCACUGGUGUUUUUAAAUGAAAACAUACCAGUCUUUAGAAAUGCAUUGUCUGAUUUGCUCAACACUAUACACUGAGAAACUGUUCAUUCAAUGCAGUUUCUUUAAAAGAAGCUGGGCUUUUUUGUACACUUUAUAUACAGAUAUAACAUUUUGAAAGGGCCUAGAAUCUAGAUAAUUUGCUCAAUUCCACUUUGGCCCUUAGACCCUAACCCCUAGGCACCUGUGUAGAUCUCAGAAGAUUUGAUAGGUGUUAGCAAUAUGGUAACAGUUUAGUCUUUCUCUUAUGGGUUUCUGUGAUGUUGGUUACACCCAUCCAAACCUUUUAAAUCUACACAGGGACUUUAUCCUGGAGCUUAUGUUGCAUUGUUAACCGAGUGGGAAGGUGGUAAUUACCAGCUGUGAAGUCGUAAAUAUCAGUUGGAUGCAUUCACAUGCUUUGAACUCAUUGAGAAACGCUGAUUGGCUAAUGGCAAACAAGCUGCGUCAAUCAUAAACUAAAAGUACAGCUAACAUGCUUGUAAACAUAUGUAUUCAAAAACAUUAAUAGAUAGCUUUUUAUAAAUAAUGUUUUACUGCAUGUAACUGCCUAAAAUGCUGUUAUCGGGGUAAUUUCUUUAGUGGGUGACAUCAGAGGUCAACAUGUGGGAGAAGUUGGCGCUCAGGGAUGAUAUAUGAGUUUCCCACUAGUAAUUACCAGUUGGAGGGGCGUUCAAGUAGGUUUUGUAUGUGGUAAAUAACACCUUCCCACUUGGUUAUGAACACAGCAUAAGGUCUUGAUUUAGAGUUGGGCAAUUGUGUGAUGUACAGUCCAUCAGAACUGAUGCCAUCUGUGUGGCAGCAACCCUAUUUUGCUCUGAAUAGUUGUGAACCUAUGUAAAUGUGAGACUUUAAUAAAUAUAUUAAUCACUUAA
Long non-coding RNA from Oncorhynchus kisutch (coho salmon), 2058 nucleotides. RefSeq lists it as uncharacterized. NCBI's taxonomy places the organism in Eukaryota, Metazoa, Chordata, Actinopteri, Salmoniformes, Salmonidae. The transcript has 3 exons. The record is from RefSeq and is a predicted model, not a curated record.